GCCCGGAUGGUGGAAGUGGCAGACACGCGCAUUUGGCAAGUGCGUACCCGAAAGGGUGUGCGGGUUCAAAUCCCGCUCCGGGCA
RNAcentral lists this transfer RNA (84 nucleotides) under Gemmatimonadota bacterium. RNAcentral's name for it is "tRNA-Ala". It matches the Rfam family "tRNA". From Rfam's summary of the family: Transfer RNA (tRNA) molecules are approximately 80 nucleotides in length. Their secondary structure includes four short double-helical elements and three loops (D, anti-codon, and T loops). Lineage: Bacteria; Pseudomonadati; Gemmatimonadota. The record is from RNAcentral.